Long non-coding RNA from Carya illinoinensis, 597 nucleotides. RefSeq lists it as uncharacterized. NCBI's taxonomy places the organism in Eukaryota, Viridiplantae, Streptophyta, Magnoliopsida, Fagales, Juglandaceae. The transcript has 3 exons. The record is from RefSeq and is a predicted model, not a curated record.
UCUCCUCUUCAAUUCUGAUUCUCCUUCCUCUCCCUUCGACCUCUCUCUAUAUCUCUCUCUAUCUAAAUCAACUUCAUCUUUCGUCUCGAUCUCUCUCUUUGUCCCCCUGUUUCAAUAGUCUCGAUUGCAAACUGCAUUUCUUUCUCUCUUAACCCAUUUUCGGCCCUCCAUUUUUCAUCUUGAGGAAGAGCUAAGAAGCAAGGUAAAAAUCCUAACUUAUUUUACUUCUCUUUCUUUCUCUCCCGCUUGGAAGCUCUUUUUUUUUUUUCUUGUUUUUUGCAAACAACAUCAUAUCUAUAUGUGUUCAUUUAGAUCUUUUAGUUUUCAUUUUAUUUUUUAGAUCCUAGAGCUUCUUAUGUUAAACAUGGUUUUCGGAAGCAACUGGAAAUGCAACCGUUGGGUUCCCAAAGGUGGUGCUUUUACUGGAGAGAUUAGCUUCCAUUCCAAUGCAUGGAUAAUAUUCACAAAUUCAAUAGCUGUCACACGUACAAAAGGGAAAACAGGAGAGCAAAUAGGACUGUAGUUUUCCAAAUUGUAACUUAUUAUAGUGUCUUGCCAUUAUAAUGUAUAGGAAAAAACAAUGGUAUCCUUACCUAG